CAUUUAUAUAUUUCGAACGUAAUCAUAAUUAUAUUUGAAUAUUAGGAAACCAAUGGCGUUUUUAAUAUUAUGAACAUGAACGAACUGAUUACAUAUUAGGUUAAAGUAGAUGUUCGCAAAGCCAUUAUUUUUCAAACUACACAAGACAACAUCUGAAUUAAUGGACUAGAAUUUAAAGGGGGAUUUACAUUCCAAGGGUGUAGCUAAAUCACCGGGUAGAAGUAUGGAACCUACACCCACUGUUAUGCAGUCCGGCAGAAGACAAACGACCUAUCCAACUUCGGACCCCACAGCGUGAUGCAUAUAGUUGAUUAAAAGCAUUUGGAUCCUGAAAUCUAACACAAUAUGAAUUCAUAAUGAACUAUAAAGUCAAGUUAUUGUGUUAAAAUUGAUUAUCUCAAUAGAUAUUCAAGUGCUAAAAAUCGUGCAUAAGACUCA
Rhopalosiphum maidis (corn leaf aphid) is the source of this 438-nucleotide long non-coding RNA. RefSeq lists it as uncharacterized. The record is from RefSeq and is a predicted model, not a curated record. The transcript has 3 exons. NCBI's taxonomy places the organism in Eukaryota, Metazoa, Arthropoda, Insecta, Hemiptera, Aphididae.